This 406-nucleotide ribosomal RNA is filed under the name uncultured Hyphomicrobiales bacterium. RNAcentral's name for it is "bacterial SSU rRNA". It matches the Rfam family "Bacterial small subunit ribosomal RNA", at positions 356 to 774 of the family's 1533-position model. The record is from RNAcentral. Lineage: Bacteria; Pseudomonadati; Pseudomonadota; Alphaproteobacteria; Hyphomicrobiales.
GGGGAAUUUUGGACAAUGGGCGAAAGCCUGAUCCAGCAAUGCCGCGUGCAGGAUGAAGGCCUUCGGGUUGUAAACUGCUUUCAGCAGGGACGAAGGGUUUCUGACGGUACCUGCAGAAGAAGCACCGGCUAACUACGUGCCAGCAGCCGCGGUGAUACGUAGGGUGCGAGCGUUGUCCGGAAUUAUUGGGCGUAAAGCGCACGUAGGCGGAUCGUUAAGUCAGGGGUGAAAUCCUGGGGCUCAACCUCAGAACUGCCCUUGAUACUGGCGAUCUCGAGUUCGAGAGAGGUUGGUGGAACUCCGAGUGUAGAGGUGAAAUUCGUAGAUAUUCGGAAGAACACCAGUGGCGAAGGCGGCCAACUGGCUCGAUACUGACGCUGAGGUGCGAAAGCGUGGGGAGCAAACA